Molecule: transfer RNA, 74 nt
Filed under: Phycomyces blakesleeanus
Lineage: Eukaryota; Fungi; Mucoromycota; Mucoromycetes; Mucorales; Phycomycetaceae
Also listed under: 1 other name
Description: tRNA-Ile
Rfam family: tRNA
About the family: Transfer RNA (tRNA) molecules are approximately 80 nucleotides in length. Their secondary structure includes four short double-helical elements and three loops (D, anti-codon, and T loops).
Source: RNAcentral
GCCCGCUUAGCUCAGUUGGUUAGAGCGUGGUGCUAAUAACGCCAAGGUCACAGGUUCGACCCCUGUAGUGGGCA